This 253-nucleotide ribosomal RNA is filed under the name uncultured bacterium. RNAcentral describes it as "partial 16S ribosomal RNA". It matches the Rfam family "Bacterial small subunit ribosomal RNA", at positions 524 to 776 of the family's 1533-position model. The record is from RNAcentral.
UACGUAGGGUGCAAGCGUUGUCCGGAAUUAUUGGGCGUAAAGGGCUCGCAGGCGGCCGACUAAGUCAGACGUGAAAUCCCUUGGCUUAACCAAGGAAUGGCGUCUGAUACUGGACGGCUUGAAUUCGGGAGAGGGAUGUGGAAUUCCAGGUGUAGCGGUGAAAUGCGUAGAUAUCUGGAGGAACACCGGUGGCGAAGGCGGCAUCCUGGACCGAUAUUGACGCUGAGGAGCGAAAGCCAGGGGAGCAAACGGG